UGCAAGUCGAACGAAGUAGCAAUACUUAGUGGCAGACGGGUGAGUAACAUGUGGGUAUCUGCCCUUUGGCCUGGAAUAACACGAGGAAACUUGUGCUAAUACCGGAUAAGUCUUUACGGAGAAAGCUUUAUGCACCAUUGGAUGAGCCCGCACUUGAUUAGUUUGUUGGUGGGGUAAUGGCCUACCAAGACUGUGAUCAAUAGCUGAUUUGAGAGGGUGAUCAGCCACAUUGGGACUGAGACACGGCCCAAACUCCUACGGGAGGCAGCAGUGGGGAAUCUUGCACAAUGGGGGAAACCCUGAUGCAGCGAUGCCGCGUGAGUGAAGAAGGCCUUUGGGUUGUAAAACUCUUUCGUCGGGGAAGAAAAUGACUGUACCCGAAUAAGAAGGUCCGGCUAACUUCGUGCCAGCAGCCGCGGUAAUACGAAGGGACCUAGCGUAGUUCGGAAUUACUGGGCUUAAAGAGCUCGUAGGUGGUUAAAAAAGUUGAUGGUGAAAUCCCAAGGCUCAACCUUGGAACUGCCAUCAAAACUUUUUAGCUAGAGUGUGAUAGAGGUAAGUGGAAUUUCUAGUGUAGAGGUGAAAUUCGUAGAUAUUAGAAAGAACACCAAAUGCGAAGGCAACUUACUGGGUCACUACUGACACUGAGGAGCGAAAGCAUGGGUAGCGAAGAGGAUUAGAUACCCUCGUAGUCCAUGCCGUAAACGAUGUGUGCUAGACGUUGGAAAUAUAUUUUCAGUGUCGCAGCGAAAGCAUUAAGCACACCGCCUGGGGAGUACGACCGCAAGGUUAAAACUCAAAUGGAUUGACGGGGACCCGCACAAGCAGUGGAGCAUGUGGUUUAAUUCGAAGAUACGCGCAGAACCUUACCAACACUUGACAUGUUCGUCGCGAGACUAAGAGAUUAGUCUUUUCAGUUCGGCUGGACGAAACACAGUGCUGCAUGGCUGUCGUCAGCUCGUGUC
RNAcentral lists this ribosomal RNA (965 nucleotides) under uncultured marine bacterium. Its description in RNAcentral is "bacterial SSU rRNA". It matches the Rfam family "Bacterial small subunit ribosomal RNA", at positions 56 to 1066 of the family's 1533-position model. The record is from RNAcentral.